AUUGAACGCUGGCGACAGGCCUAACACAUGCAAGUCGAGCGCGAAAGUCUUCGGAUGAGUAAAGCGGCGAACGGGUGAGUAAUGCAUGGGAAUCUGCCUGGUAGUGGGGGACAACGUCUCGAAAGGGACGCUAAUACCGCAUACGCCCUACGGGGAAAGGGGGGGAGUCUUCGGACCUCUCGCUAUCAGAUGAGCCCAUGUCAGAUUAGCUAGUUGGUGAGGUAAAGGCUCACCAAGGCGACGAUCUGUAACUGGUCUGAGAGGAUGAUCAGUCACACUGGAACUGAGACACGGUCCAGACUCCUACGGGAGGCAGCAGUGGGGAAUAUUGGACAAUGGGGGGCAACCCUGAUCCAGCCAUGCGCGUGUGUGAAGAAGGCCCUAGGGUUGUAAAGCGACUUUCAGUGGGGAGAAA
Molecule: ribosomal RNA, 415 nt
Filed under: uncultured bacterium
Lineage: Bacteria
Description: bacterial SSU rRNA
Rfam family: Bacterial small subunit ribosomal RNA
Source: RNAcentral